This is a non-coding RNA of Coffea arabica (coffee), 288 nucleotides long. Lineage: Eukaryota; Viridiplantae; Streptophyta; Magnoliopsida; Gentianales; Rubiaceae. The record is from RefSeq and is a predicted model, not a curated record.
UGAGAAUGACGAGAAUUCUUGCCUAAUGAGGUUGCUGAUUUGGCAAAGACUGCUGAUAAUCUUCUGCAAAAUAAUGUUGAGGAUCAAAGUAGUGCUGAGGACCAGAAAUUGAGAAGAGAAAAUUCUUUCCAUGGUAGCAAUAUUGAAUUCAAGAAGUUGAACAAGAUCUAGAUGCUGCUGAUGACCAUAAGUUUGAAAGUGAAAAAUCUUGCCAUGGUAGCAAUCUUGCAAGUAAUCUAAAGUGUGCUGAAGAAGGGAAGUUGGGAAAAGGAAAUUCCUACCUUGGUG